RNAcentral lists this non-coding RNA (48 nucleotides) under Schistosoma mansoni. The record is from RNAcentral. Lineage: Eukaryota; Metazoa; Platyhelminthes; Trematoda; Strigeidida; Schistosomatidae.
AUCCCGCUGACGAGACCCAGAUAGGACGAAACUCGUGUCAAACCGGAU